RNAcentral lists this long non-coding RNA (1312 nucleotides) under Salmo salar (Atlantic salmon). Its description in RNAcentral is "lncRNA (ENSSSAG00000053162.2)". The record is from RNAcentral. Lineage: Eukaryota; Metazoa; Chordata; Actinopteri; Salmoniformes; Salmonidae.
UUACAUAUGUAAAAUGUUUCCUACAGUGCUCUGGACAAAUAGGCUGUCCUGCUCCGCUCCCCUUUGGCACCAGCUCCUGCCACAACAAAAGAGGAUUCCUCUGAAGAGUUCCUGCUGGAUACAGAUCAUUUGAAAGAUACCACACACAUACUUGUAUCUUCCAAGCACACCUCUGCCAGCCACAUCACCACUGCCCAUGAUAGCUUCUCCACUGGACCCAUCAAGAGAUGAGGUUGCCUCUUCAUCUUGGACCACGACCGAUGGACAGAGCCCCUUAAAGCUGCCAGUGAUGUCCUACUGGCCAAGCACCAUGGGGAGGAAGAGAUCCUGAAGUGGGUAGAUUUGCUUUGCUCUCAACACCAGCCCAGAGAAGCUCCUAGGGACACACAGCUGUGACAUUAUUUUACUGCAGAGAGUAAAAUGGUCAGUGUCCCAGUCACGUACCCUACCACCUGCACUUACACAGCAGAAAGCCUCACCAAUUCAAGGAUACCAUUUCAGAAUUUUGCUGCCGCUGCCUUCUUUCAAUGGGAGCUGGAGGCCUCGAAGCAGAGGGAGGCAGUGAGGAAGGAGCAAACUGAGGAAAGAGAAAAUCCUUAGAGCAACAUCCCUCUGUCCGUCUGUACAGGUUCUGCCACCAGUCGCUGAAACAAGGCUCCAACAGCCAUCACACACAUACCGGCUUUCCUUGAGUGGCAGGAAAAUAUCUACUGCCUAGCCAAAGUUUUUUCUCUGUACCUGACACAGGGCAUUGGCGGAUGCGCCAACAGUCUGCCUUUUAUGAGACUGAAAAGUAGAGAUGGAUGGUGGGGAAGGGAGAGUGACUGAAAUAAAUAGGAGCUGAAGAUUUCCAUUGAUGGAAGUGGUUUGUAUUUAUUUCACAGGUACUGUCCAUUCUUUUACUUUACUGUACAUACGUUGCUGUAUAUCACUGGAUAUAUUAUCAGGGCUGUAAAGUACUUAGGUAAAAAUACUUUAAAGUACUACUUAAGUAGUUUUUUGGGGUGUCUGUACUUUACUUCAUUAUUUAUAUUUUUGACAACUUUUACUUUUACUUCACUACAUUCCUAAAAAAAAGAUUGUACUUCUUACUCCAUACAUUUUCCCUGGCACCCAAAAGUACUCAUUACAUUUUGAAUGCUUAGCAGGAAAGGAAAAUGGUCCAAUUAACACACUUAUCAGGAGAAUCUCUACUGCCUCUGAUCUGGCGGACUCACUAAACACAAAUUCUUCGUAUGUAAAUGAUGUCUGAGUGUUGGAGUGUGCCCCUAGUUGUCUGUAAAUUUGAAAAAAAACACAUUGUGUCAUCUGG